UUUCUUUGGGUGCUUUUCGGUUCUCUCUCUCCCCAUCAUCAGCUUUUCCUUAUUUUGUUUGACUCCUGCUCUCCCCGUCUCCCUCCUCGCCUCACUCUUCUCUGCACCAAGCAGCUCGAUUUAGGGCUUCACCAUUUCUCUUCGAAUCAAGGUCUCUAUUUCUCUCCCUAUUUUCCGAAUCUAGGUUUCCUAUCUGUCUGUGGAAAACCCUAGAUCUCGCCACUGCCGGAGAGUCCAAGCUCGGCCCUUCGAGCUUCAAUCUGCCUUGCAGAUCGGCUCCUCUCGGCGCCUCCACCUAAACCCCUCUGCAGAAGGAAGCUAGGAGGUGCAGCAACUGGAAGUCGGAUUUCACUCCUGUCAUUGCAAUUAGAUCAGGUUCUGGCUGAUUUGAUCUGAGCAUGCACAUGACUCCGUUUGAAGCAUCACCAGGAACUAGAAAAUUAAACACUUACAACACAGCUGUUAAAGACGUUAAAGUAUUUCAAUUUGGCUAUUGGCAAAUAUGUUUGGUGUUUUAUGGCGAGAGAUGGUUGGUUUCUGCUUCUAAUUAUGUUAGCAGGAGGUACAUGAGUGAUCACUGCGACAGUUGGUGGACCUCAACAAGAGCAUAUCCAGGAGCUUAUUCGUUAUCUGCAAUUUGGACUCUGAUGGCUGGCUCUUGGUGUAGCAUCAUCUAUUGGUCUUGCAUAUCCAGGAGCUUAUUCGUUAUCUGUAAUUUGGACUCUGAUGGCUGGCUCUUGGUGUAGCAUCAUCUAUUGGUCUUGCAUAUCCAGGAGCUUAUUCGUUAUCUGCAAUUUGGACUCUGAUGGCUGGCUCUUGGUGUAGCAUCAUCUAUUGGUCUUGGUUGUGAUACACUCAUAAAAAGCAUACGAUUUCUUCAGAAAAUUGGCAAUUGACUCAUCAGGAAAUGCAGAGAGAAGACGUUCCCAGUAAGUUUAGCAGAAAUACCAAAGGAAAUGAGGCAAUCCAAAUCAAUGGCAUACAGAGUGUUCGGAACUCAACGAAAAAUGAGAAAGGAGCUGUAGUUGAUUAGAAAGAGCAACAGUGUUUCAACAAAAAUUCUCCCCAAUGCUGAUUUGCUUACGGCGGUGUUUAAGGUAAAUUUUGCUCCCUUCCAGAAUAAUUUUCAAUGAAUUAUGUCUUCUGAGUAGUAUUGAAGCCGGACAUUGUAUCUUUGAGAAAGUUUAUGUAUAGUUUCUGCAAAAGUUUAGUUUGGAAGUAGUAUAUAUCUGUAUGUGGAGUUUUGCUUUUUUCCACUGUGAAAUCAAACCCCUCUAUCCAGUCUCUUACAUUCUUGAUAUGCUCAUCCCCCGAAAUCUUCCUUUCUCAUCUAAAGGCAGAUCAGAGAAUUCAACAUUCUCAGUGGUCAAAUUUUUUACCCAAGGUGGGUCUCGAGUCAAUCAGCGGUAUGCCUUCAGCUUUGAAUGAGAGCUUUGGCAUGUACUCGGGAUCUAGGGGAUAGUUGGUUCAACCUCUCCCGUGGUAGGUAAACUUAAUUUGGAAGGAAAGCAACUCAAUGCUUUUUUUUUUUUUUUGUAAGAAUGCUACUAGAUGAAUGGCAGAUUUAUCAUAUGAGCGUCAUUGAAGUUUUAUCUUGAAUCUGAACAAGUUUUUGUCAAUUGUUAUUUUCAAAGGUUGUGACAGUUUGUGCUGGCCUUGCAGAAAUUUUUGUGAUCAUAAAAUUGUCAUGUGAUAUUACUAUUGUCAAUGUUAUGCAAGGAAUAAAGUUUGUAGAAGGUUGCUGAUCUACCUAUGCUGCCACCAAAAUAAUGUACCUAAAAGCUGCCAAUUGGAUUUGUUCUUCAGAUGAUAAUGGCAUACCUAUAUAAUGGUUGUUCUUUUGCUUUGAUGUAGAAGUAAGAAAAUUGCUUUGCCCCUUAUCUAUCCCGCUUCUUUCUGUCCGUGUGUUCUUUGUUCAAAGGUUGGUUGGUUGUUAAACUUGAUGUUGUAGAAGAGUUAAUGUCUGGUAGGCAAAUGAUUAUGGUGUUGUUCCUAUUAUGCAUAAGGUCGUGGUAAUAAUAUUGUGAGAUUUUGUGUCUGCAUAAAUCCAGUAGUGGUUUUGAUAAUCAGAAAGUAAUCUCUCAACUUCUUUGUGAUUAUAGUUGCUUUGAUACUGUCAUAGGGACUUUUGUCAUACUUACAAAUUGAUUUUGAUAUAUCCCUUCGUAGGUUUAAAAUUUUUGUCAAACCCAAAAGUUACCUUGCUGGGCAUAUUUAAAAAGUAGUUUAAUUAAUCAAUAUUACUAUGGUAGUUUUAAAGUAUAUGUUAAUUGGAAUUAAUCCUUUUGGUUUUAUUUUUAAAACUACAUAUCUGUGGUAAGGAGGGAUACCUAUUGAAGUUUUGAAUUUCCAGUACUCAGGUGCUUAAAGAUUUGAAUUUUUAAAGUGGUUCCACAAAACCUGCAAAGUGGUUCCACAAAAAUCUUCAAAGUGGACGUUAUGUUGCUUGCAGCAAUAGAUUGUUUAGGGUUUAGUUGAAAAAGAUAUACAAAAAAAACUAGGUAAUGAGGCAUUGAAUUGGGUUUGAGAGUUUUGAUAUUAUGAGAGAGGUAAGGAGUACAUAGGGAGAGAGGGAGGUAGGUGAUUUGCAGAAAUGGAGGGUGAGAGAAAAACGGGAGAAAAGGGGUAGUACAUUAUAUUUUGAUUUUAUAAUUUUGGGGGUUUUGUGUUUAAACUUUUUUAGUACUUUUUUUUAGAUAUAGCCUACAAAUGUUGACCCAGAGGUUGGACAUAAUCAUUACUUCUUAUUACAAUUAUUAAAAUUAAUUAUAUUAACUAAAUUUGAUUUGAAUGUUUUGAUGAUGGUAACCACUAACAACAAAACAACGAUCUCCUUAAUCUAGGAGAAAGAGCCGAAAGGUGAGGAAGAAAAGAAGGGAAAGCAGGAAAGAGAGCUCUGCACAUGCAAAUUGAUGUUUGAUGUUCUUCUUCAAGUGCUUCUUGGGGAUGUUGGAGCUGGGAAAUCAAGUCUGGUGUUGUGCUUUGUAAAAGGACAAUUCGUUGAAUUUCAGGUGCUGAUGUGGGUUUUCUCGCCAUCAUAAAGCUUUGCCAAUCCAAAAUCUGAUAUUUUUGGGGGGAGUUCUGCAUGAAGCAAAAUAUUAAUGGCUUUGACAUCUCGAUAUAGAAUCCUUGGCCUUGACUCCUCAUGGAGGUAAGCAAGUUCUCUUGCUGUUCCCAACAAUAUAUUGAAUCAAGUAGGCCAACCAAGGUGCAAGUUACUUGUCUCUGAAAUAUUAGUGAACACGUCCAAUCAAAAUCAAGGCUCAUUUUAUAGACCCAAAAAGGCAUUUUCUUCUUUAUUAUGCAACUGGACCAUCAACAUCAAGGCUCAAUUUAUAGACCCAAAAAGGCGUUAUUAAAUUAUCUGAAUUCCCUGAACACAUUCUUAAUUUUUAGUGGUGGGAUCUCCAUCAAGUGGUGGUGGUUCAUGAACAUAUCUAUAAACAUUGUGUAUGAAUAAGUAGGAUAUACAUCCAUCUGCUAAGGUAUAUUCAAAUCUGGCAUGCCAGUCCCUGCCCACUACCAAAAGCCAAAGCUAAAUUACAAUUACAAUUAAUUAUUAAAAUGUGUAUUAUAUAAAAGGAAAGGGUCCAAAACAAGUACAAGGGUGCACAAAGGGGUAAAAAGAACAUGCGAAAAUCAUUUCCCGAUAUUUAUCACCUUCCUUCUCCUCUAAUGCUAGCGAGCAGUGAUUGAGUGACGUUUACAGAAGGUGUAGGGUCAAUCCAGGGAGUGUUAGCACCAUUUGCAUUGCUGCCUCCCGACUAAUAGUUGAGGCGAACAUUACUACCCUUGGAUGAAGUUGAUGGGGUAUCAUCCUCCACCAAAAAUCUACUUGUUAACGAUGUUGUUACAUCUUUAAAAUCAUAAUCUGUCAAAUAGCUUGGCUUCGACAUGACAGUGCUUAUGUCAAUGUCUCCAGAGAGCAUUGCAACCACACGUGACAUAGAUGGCCGUGCCAUCGGUGAUCCCUGCGUGCACAGGAGAGCUGCUCUUAUCAAUCUAGUUGCUUCAGUUUCAUCGAACUCUAUUAAUCUCGGAUCCAUCAGCCCCAGAGUUUGGUCGUUUUCAUGUAGAGUCCAUACCUGAAAAACAUUAUGCCACUGUCAAAGGAAAGUAUAAAUAAGUUUUUCACAACAAUGCCUAAAUGAAGCUAGGCGAAUGCAAUUCCUACCCAUUCAAGAAGAUAAAUCUUUUCUGGAUCCAAGUUAUUGUAAGAGUUUGGUCUCCCGCUGAGGAUCUCUAAAACGACGACUCCAAAACCAAACACAUCGGCCUUCUCUGUCAAAUGUCCAAACAAUGCAUACUCCGGUGCCAAAUAGCCUCUGCAAUGCAAGAUAAUCAAAUGGUUGCACAAUGUUACUUAAGAUCAUUAGAGGCAUUAUUAACAUGUGUGAAAAUUUCAUGCAAGUAUAAAUGUGUGUGGCCAUAAUGUAUGUAUCCUCUGGAAAAACAAUAAAGGAUGAUUUACAUUGUCCCUGCAACUCGGGUGCUGAUGUGGGUUUUCUUGUCAUCAUAAAGCUUUGCCAGUCCAAAAUCUGAUAUUUUUGGGGAAAGUUCUGCAUCGAGCAAAAUAUUACUCGCUUUGACAUCUCGAUGUACAAUCCUUGGCCUUGACUCCUCAUGAAGGUAAGCAAGUCCUCUUGCUGUUCCCAACAAUAUAUUGAAUCGAGUAGGCCAGUCAAGGUGCAAGUUACUUGUUCC
This is a non-coding RNA of Malus domestica (apple), 4704 nucleotides long. NCBI's taxonomy places the organism in Eukaryota, Viridiplantae, Streptophyta, Magnoliopsida, Rosales, Rosaceae. The record is from RefSeq and is a predicted model, not a curated record.